GGCAACCCGGUCAGGUCCCCUUCCAUGCUGUGGAAGAUUUGUUCUUUCACUCUUCACAAUAAUUCUUGCUGCUGCUCACUCUUUGGGUUCGCACUACCUUUAUGAGCUGUAACACUCACUGCGAAGGUCUGCGGCUUCACUCCUGAAGUCAAGCGAGACCAUGAACCCACCAGAAGGAAGAAACUCCAGACCCAUCUGAACAUCUGAAGGAACAAACUC
This 219-nucleotide long non-coding RNA is filed under the name Homo sapiens (human). Its description in RNAcentral is "HSALNT0389314". Lineage: Eukaryota; Metazoa; Chordata; Mammalia; Primates; Hominidae. The record is from RNAcentral.